GCCGGCGUGGCGAAACUGGCAGACGCACGGGACUCAAAAUCCCGCGGUAGCAAUACCAUGUGGGUUCGAUUCCCUCCGCCGGCA
Molecule: transfer RNA, 84 nt
Filed under: Deltaproteobacteria bacterium
Lineage: Bacteria; Pseudomonadati; Myxococcota; Myxococcia
Description: tRNA-Leu
Rfam family: tRNA
About the family: Transfer RNA (tRNA) molecules are approximately 80 nucleotides in length.
Source: RNAcentral